AGAGUUUGAUCCUGGCUCAGAACGAACGCUGGCGGCAGGCCUAACACAUGCAAGUCGAACGUGAAGCCAGAGCUUGCUCUCGGUGGGAGCGGCAGACGGGUGAGUAACGCGUGGGAAUGUGCCUUUUGGUUCGGAAUAGCCCCGGGAAACUGGGAGUAAUACCGAAUAAGCCCUUCGGGGGAAAGAUUUAUCGCCAAAAGAUCAGCCCGCGUUAGAUUAGCUAGUUGGUGAGGUAACGGCUCACCAAGGCGACGAUCUAUAGCUGGUCUGAGAGGACGACCAGCCACACUGGAACUGAGACACGGUCCAGACUCCUACGGGAGGCAGCAGUGGGGAAUCUUGGACAAUGGGCGGAAGCCUGAUCCAGCCAUGCCGCGUGAAUGAUGAAGGCCUUAGGGUUGUAAAAUUCUUUCAGCAGGGAAGAUAAUGACGGUACCUGCAAAAGAAGCCCCGGCUAACUCCGUGCCAGCAGCCGCGGUAAUACGGAGGGGGCUAGCGUUGUUCGGAAUUACUGGGCGUAAAGCGCUCGUAGGCGGAUAGGUAAGUCAGAUGUGAAAUCCCAGGGCUCAACCUUGGAACUGCAUUUGAAACUGCCAAUCUAGAGUUCAGGAGAGGUAAGCGGAAUUCCGAGUGUAGAGGUGAAAUUCGUAGAUAUUCGGAGGAACACCAGUGGCGAAGGCGGCUCACUGGCUCGAUACUGACGCUGAGGUGCGAAAGCGUGGGAGCAAACAGGAUUAGAUACCCUGGUAGUCCACGCCGUAAACUAUGAGUGCUAGUCGUCAGCGGGCAUGCCCGUUGGUGACGCAGCUAACGCAUUAAGCACUCCGCCUGGGGAGUACGGCCGCAAGGUUAAAACUCAAAGGAAUUGACGGGGGCCCGCACAAGCGGUGGAGCAUGUGGUUUAAUUCGAAGCAACGCGCAGAACCUUACCAUCCCUUGACAUCCUCGGAAUUCACCAGAGAUGGAGAAGUGCCUUUCGAGGAACAUGAGUCCAGGUGCUGCACGGCUGUCGUCAGCUCGUGUCGUGAGAUGUUGGGUUAAGUCCCGCAACGAGCGCAACCCCUAUCCUUAGUUGCUAGCAGUUCGGCUGAGCACUCUAGCGAGACUGCCUUCGCAAGGAGGAGGAAGGUGAGGACGACGUCAAGUCAUCAUGGCCCUUACGGCUAGGGCAACACACGUGCUACAAUGGGGCGUACAGAGAGUUGCGAUACCGCGAGGUGGAGCUAAUCUCAUAAAGCGUCUCUCAGUUCGGAUUGGACUCUGCAACUCGAGUACAUGAAGCUGGAAUCACUAGUAAUCGUAGAUCAGCUAUGCUACGGUGAAUACGUUCCCGGGUCUUGUACUCACCGCCCGUCACACCAUGGGAGUUGAUUUCACCCGAAGUCGGGAAGCAAACCUUCGGGAUGCUACCGCUUACGGUGGAAUUAGCGACUGGGGUGAAGUCGUAACAAGGUAACC
This 1458-nucleotide ribosomal RNA is filed under the name uncultured prokaryote. Its description in RNAcentral is "partial 16S ribosomal RNA". It matches the Rfam family "Bacterial small subunit ribosomal RNA". The record is from RNAcentral.